RNAcentral lists this ribosomal RNA (119 nucleotides) under Salmo salar (Atlantic salmon). The record is from RNAcentral. Lineage: Eukaryota; Metazoa; Chordata; Actinopteri; Salmoniformes; Salmonidae.
GCUUACGGCCAUACCAGCCUGGGUACGCCCGAUCUCGUCUGAUCUUGGAAGCUAAGCAGGAUCGGGCCUUGUUAGUACUUGGAUGGGAGACCGCCUGGGAAUACCAGGUGCUGUAAGCA